RNAcentral lists this long non-coding RNA (496 nucleotides) under Lathyrus oleraceus (garden pea). RNAcentral describes it as "Pisum sativum (pea) long non-coding RNA (PSAT_LNC039469)". The record is from RNAcentral. Lineage: Eukaryota; Viridiplantae; Streptophyta; Magnoliopsida; Fabales; Fabaceae.
AAAAUUUAUUAAUAACAAAGCGGCAUGUUUUUCUAAUGGCAUCUCCUACAUCAUCCCAGUUAUGUUAAUUCCAGUCCAAUAUGUUUUAGCCAUUUUAACUGGAGUAAUUCCAGUACAAUAUAUAUUGUGAUGACAAUACUAAUGAACAAUAAGUUUCUUUGUGAAGUACCUAUCAAACACAUAAUUGUUAAUAAAUGUAUCCGCAUUCUUUUCUCUUAAACAAAUCAUUCAUUUCUAAAACACCAAGUUUGAUAGAACAUUUUACACUAUCUAUUAUAUUGAUCAAUAGAGAUUCCAGUAAUUCAAAAUAAAAAGGAAUCCAAUUAGAGAUAUUUUAGUUAUUGAAUUGAACCCAAAAAAAUAUUAAAUACAUUUGAAUAUGAGAUAGCUAUUGAUACUCUAUGCAAAAAGAGAUGAAAUGAACCAUGUUUAAAAUAAAGCAAGUGAAAUUGAAUCUGAGUUAUCUAUACAUUAUUGUUGCUAUGCAAAUUUAUUC